This 546-nucleotide long non-coding RNA is filed under the name Pan troglodytes (chimpanzee). Its description in RNAcentral is "long non-coding RNA NONPTRT005589". Lineage: Eukaryota; Metazoa; Chordata; Mammalia; Primates; Hominidae. The record is from RNAcentral.
CCCGCUGCUAUUCAGCUGUCGGGCUAAUUAGCAGUCGAGGUGUGCGGCUAGGCGCGGGCUCUGCAGGAGCUCAGCCCCACGGAGGGAGCCGGCAGCGGCGCGGCGAGGACGGCGGCGGACCGGGGAAGCCCCGCGCCCUGGCCAGGAUAUAGAAGACUUAGAUCACUACGAGAUGAAAGCAGAGCCCAUUAGUGGGAAAAAGUUGGAGGAUGAAGGAAUUGCAAAAGAAAAUUUGGCAAUAUUAGAGAAAUUAGGAAGACUGAAAGGGUUGACCCUGCUAGUCCUUUGCACAGUGAUCUUCAGAUCUUAAAAGAAAAAGAAGGCAUAGGAGAUACUUUGCUUAACUUAUCUUUUAAGAAACUGUUGUCGUUGUCAACUGGGUUGUCUUCCUGAAGUAUGAAUCCGGUAUGUAUUGUGUGGAGGAGCAUUACGUAUUGAACUUCUCACAAAACAGGGCUGAAGCAGUGCCUACUCGACAGAACCGGUCAUCGUACAAAGAAAUGCCACCUGACUCAAAGGCAAAGCCAGAGUACAGCUUGGAGCAAA